Small nucleolar RNA from Nilaparvata lugens (brown planthopper), 77 nucleotides. NCBI's taxonomy places the organism in Eukaryota, Metazoa, Arthropoda, Insecta, Hemiptera, Delphacidae. The record is from RefSeq and is a predicted model, not a curated record.
AUGUUAUGAUGAUACUAUUUUUCACCAUCUUUCGGCUGAAAUCUAUUGCAGAUAAUCUAUUUUAAACUGAUUUACAU